CCUACAUACUGUGUCUGCCUCAUCAUUAGUCUGGGUAGUUCUAAAACCUUGGGUCUUACCUAGCGACUGGAUCCUUUUCUUGGUUUGGAAGGAGGAAGACCAUGAAAGCAAACCACCACAAUUGAGAGCCACUGAAAAUGAAGUUGACAGAGCCAAGAACUGAGUAACAGCUGGGGAAACAAAAGAAAAGACAGUCGGUGAGUGGAGCCUCAAAAACAACCGGAUGACACACGCAAGCAAUUUGAGACAGGAAAUGCAUGCUAUGAAGCGAUGCUGUGGGAUGUUCUUUAAAUCAAGAGAGCUUUCCAUGACUGAAUUUCACAUAUAAUUGUUUGUCUGCUCUGGAAAAGGCAGACAGCACUGUCUGGUGAUCACAGUAUGUCUGUAAGUGUUGUUACAGCUCAUUGUCUGCCAUGACUCAAUGAUAAAGCAA
Non-coding RNA from Microcebus murinus (gray mouse lemur), 433 nucleotides. NCBI's taxonomy places the organism in Eukaryota, Metazoa, Chordata, Mammalia, Primates, Cheirogaleidae. The record is from RefSeq and is a predicted model, not a curated record.